GACGAACGCUGGCGGCGUGCUUAACACAUGCAAGUCGAACGGAAAGGCCCUGCUUUUGUGGGGUGCUCGAGUGGCGAACGGGUGAGUAACACGUGAGUAACCUGCCCUUGACUUUGGGAUAACUUCAGGAAACUGGGGCUAAUACCGGAUAGGAGCUCCUGCUGCAUGGUGGGGGUUGGAAAGUUUCGGCGGUUGGGGAUGGACUCGCGGCUUAUCAGCUUGUUGGUGGGGUAGUGGCUUACCAAGGCUUUGACGGGUAGCCGGCCUGAGAGGGUGACCGGCCACAUUGGGACUGAGAUACGGCCCAGACUCGUACGGGAGGCAGCAGUGGGGAAUAUUGCACAAUGGGCGGAAGCCUGAUGCAGCAACGCCGCGUGCGGGAUGACGGCCUUCGGGUUGUAAACCGCUUUCGCCUGUGACGAAGCGUGAGUGACGGUAAUGGGUAAAGAAGCACCGGCUAACUACGUGCCAGCAGCCGCGGUGAUACGUAGGGUGCGAGCGUUGUCCGGAUUUAUUGGGCGUAAAGGGCUCGUAGGUGGUUGAUCGCGUCGGAAGUGUAAUCUUGGGGCUUAACCCUGAGCGUGCUUUCGAUACGGGUUGACUUGAGGAAGGUAGGGGAGAAUGGAGUUCCUGGUGGAGCGGUGGAAUGCGCAGAUAUCAGGAGGAACACCAGUGGCGAAGGCGGUUCUCUGGGCCUUUCCUGACGCUGAGGAGCGAAAGCGUGGGGAGCGAACAGGCUUAGAUACCCUGGUAGUCCACGCUGUAAACGGUGGGUACUAGGUGUGGGGUCCAUUCCACGGGUUCCGUGCCGUAGCUAACGCUUUAAGUACCCCGCCUGGGGAGUACGGCCGCAAGGCUAAAACUCAAAGGAAUUGACGGGGCCCCGCACAAGCGGCGGAGCAUGCGGAUUAAUUCGAUGCAACGCGUAGAACCUUACCUGGGUUUGACAUGGAUCGGGAGUGCUCAGAGAUGGGUGUGCCUCUUUUGGGGUCGGUUCACAGGUGGUGCAUGGCUGUCGUCAGCUCGUGUCGUGAGAUGUUGGGUUAAGUCCCGCAACGAGCGCAACCCUUGUUCACUGUUGCCAGCACGUUAUGGUGGGGACUCAGUGGAGACCGCCGGGGUCAACUCGGAGGAAGGUGGGGAUGACGUCAAGUCAUCAUGCCCCUUAUGUCCAGGGCUUCACGCAUGCUACAAUGGCUGGUACAGAGAGUGGCGAGCCUGUGAGGGUGAGCGAAUCUCGGAAAGCCGGUCUCAGUUCGGAUUGGGGUCUGCAACUCGACCUCAUGAAGUCGGAGUCGCUAGUAAUCGCAGAUCAGCAACGCUGCGGUGAAUACGUUCCCGGGGCU
RNAcentral lists this ribosomal RNA (1346 nucleotides) under uncultured bacterium. Its description in RNAcentral is "partial 16S ribosomal RNA". It matches the Rfam family "Bacterial small subunit ribosomal RNA", at positions 28 to 1381 of the family's 1533-position model. The record is from RNAcentral.